This 123-nucleotide ribosomal RNA is filed under the name Austrobilharzia sp. Kuwait. Its description in RNAcentral is "partial 5.8S ribosomal RNA". It matches the Rfam family "5.8S ribosomal RNA", at positions 33 to 154 of the family's 154-position model. Rfam says of the family: 5.8S ribosomal RNA (5.8S rRNA) is a component of the large subunit of the eukaryotic ribosome. The record is from RNAcentral. Lineage: Eukaryota; Metazoa; Platyhelminthes; Trematoda; Strigeidida; Schistosomatidae.
GUCGAUGAAGAGUGCAGCCAACUGUGUGAAUUAAUGUGAACUGCAUACUGCUUUGAACAUCGACAUCUUGAACGCAUAUUGCGGCUACGGGAUAUCCCGUGGCUACGUCUGUCCGAGGGUCGG